CCUACGGGUGGCAGCAGUGGGGAAUAUUGGGCACUGGGCGCAAGCCUGACCCAGCAACGCCGCGUGAAGGAAGAAGGCUUUCGGGUUGUAAACUUCUUUUCUCAGUGACGCAGACAGUGACGGUACCUGAGGAGUACGCCACGGCUAACUACGUGCCAGCAGCCGCGGGAAUACGUAGGUGGCAAGAGUUAUCCGGAUUUAUGGGGUGUAAAGGGCGUGUAGGCGGGGGCGCAAGUCAGAUGGGAAAACUCAGGGCUCAACCCUGAGCCUGCAUUUGAAACUGGGGUUCUUGAGUGAUGGAGAGGCAAUCGGAAGUCCGUGUGGAGCGGUGAAAUGCGUAGAUAUACGGAGGAACACCAGUGGCGAAGGCGGAUUGCUGGACAGUAACUGACGCUGAGGCGCGAAAGCGUGGGGAGCAAACAGGAUUAGAUACCCGGGUAGUC
This 443-nucleotide ribosomal RNA is filed under the name uncultured bacterium. RNAcentral describes it as "partial 16S ribosomal RNA". It matches the Rfam family "Bacterial small subunit ribosomal RNA", at positions 338 to 795 of the family's 1533-position model. The record is from RNAcentral.